RNAcentral lists this non-coding RNA (29 nucleotides) under Mus musculus (house mouse). The record is from RNAcentral. Lineage: Eukaryota; Metazoa; Chordata; Mammalia; Rodentia; Muridae.
UAUCCACUCACAAAUAAUGUCCUAAGCCA